UAGCGUAUAUUAAAGUUGUUGCGGUAAAAAAGCUCGUAGUUGGAUUUCUGUUGAGAACGACCGGUCCACACAACGUGUGCGCAUCUGGUUCGGUCUCGGCAUCCUCUCGAAAGACGACUCUGCGCUUGAUUGCGUGGAUCGGAUUCCGGGACUUUUACUUUGAGGAAAUUAGAGUGUUCACGGCAGGCUAUCGCCAGGAUACAUUAGCAUGGAAUAAUACUAUAGGAUCUUGAUCCUAUUUUGUUGGUUUCUAGGAGCAAGAUAAUGAUUAAUAGGGACAAUUGGGGGCAUUCGUAUCAACACGUC
RNAcentral lists this ribosomal RNA (306 nucleotides) under Amoebophrya sp. RNAcentral's name for it is "SSU rRNA". It matches the Rfam family "Eukaryotic small subunit ribosomal RNA", at positions 595 to 906 of the family's 1831-position model. Lineage: Eukaryota; Dinophyceae; Syndiniales; Amoebophryaceae. The record is from RNAcentral.